CCUACGGGGGGCAGCAGUGGGGAAUAUUGGGCAAUGGGCGCAAGCCUGACCCAGCAACGCCGCGUGAAGGAAGAAGGCUUUCGGGUUGUAAACUUCUUUUAUCAGGGACGAAGCAAGUGACGGUACCUGAUGAAUAAGCCACGGCUAACUACGUGCCAGCAGCCGUGGUAAUACGUAGGUGGCAAGCGUUAUCCGGUUUUACUGGGUGUAAAGGGCGUGUAGGCGGGAGUGCAAGUCAGAUGUGAAAACUAUGGGCUCAACCCCGGCGAGCCGUUGAAACUGGCGGGCUGGAGUUGGAGAGAAGUACGCGGAAUGCGCGGUGUAGCGGUGAAAUGCUUAGAUAUCGCGCAGAACCCCGAUUGCGAAGGCAGCGUACCGGCUCCACACUGACGCUGAGGCACGAAAGCGUGGGUAUCGAACAGGAUUAGAUACCCCUGUAGUC
RNAcentral lists this ribosomal RNA (442 nucleotides) under uncultured bacterium. Its description in RNAcentral is "partial 16S ribosomal RNA". It matches the Rfam family "Bacterial small subunit ribosomal RNA", at positions 338 to 795 of the family's 1533-position model. The record is from RNAcentral.